This 486-nucleotide ribosomal RNA is filed under the name uncultured bacterium. RNAcentral describes it as "bacterial SSU rRNA". It matches the Rfam family "Bacterial small subunit ribosomal RNA", at positions 28 to 507 of the family's 1533-position model. The record is from RNAcentral.
GAUGAACGCUAGCUACAGGCUUAACACAUGCAAGUCGAGGGGCAGCACAGUGUAGCAAUACACGGGUGGCGACCGGCGCACGGGUGCGUAACGCGUAUCCAACCUUCCCGUUACUCUUGGAUAGCCUUCCGAAAGGGAGAUUAAUACAAGAUGGUAUUCAAAUUCCGCAUGUUAUUUGAAUUAAAGAUUUAUCGGUAACGGAUGGGGAUGCGUGACAUUAGAUAGUAGGCGGGGUAACGGCCCACCUAGUCUACGAUGUCUAGGGGUUCUGAGAGGAAGGUCCCCCACACUGGAACUGAGACACGGUCCAGACUCCUACGGGAGGCAGCAGUGAGGAAUAUUGGUCAAUGGUCGGAAGACUGAACCAGCCAAGUAGCGUGAAGGAUGAAGGUUCUAUGGAUUGUAAACUUCUUUUAUACGGGAAUAAAACACCUUACGUGUAGGGUCUUGUAUGUACCGUAUGAAUAAGCAUCGGCUAACUCCGUG